RNAcentral lists this long non-coding RNA (720 nucleotides) under Chloebia gouldiae (Gouldian finch). Its description in RNAcentral is "Erythrura gouldiae (Gouldian finch) lncRNA (ENSEGOG00005005724.1)". The record is from RNAcentral. Lineage: Eukaryota; Metazoa; Chordata; Aves; Passeriformes; Passeridae.
GUCUUAUGGAUGCAAUUACCAGAAAGGCACCUUUGCACAGGUAAAACUUUCAGUAUCACAUAAAAAUAGUAGCAUUCUGGUUUGAAGAGAUUCAAUCUCCAUGGAGGACUUGGCUGUGAAAGCAAGGAAUUGAAAUAAUAUCUCUGACUGCAAUAAGAAAAUAUUUCCUUUUUCUUACCUUCAGUAAUCGAGAGAUGGGCUCACUGAGACACUCUACAUUGAAGAUAGAAAGAGAUCCCAGUCUAGUAGAUCCUAAAAUAUUGGAAGAAAGAAAACCUUUAGGAGGAGGAGGUUCAUGCUCAGUGCUUCAAGGAGAUCCCAGGCAGUCACAGCACAUCCAUCACACCUCAAAUCUGUUGUCACCUUGGGUGAAUCUGCCCCAUGGGAAGAGCUCUGGGGAGAGCAGUAACCAGGCCAGGUCGGACAGCCAGCGGAGUGCAGCCGUUCCACGCUUCGGAGGCGCCAGCACCUUCCAUGGUUCCAGCCUGGCCGUGGUGGAGCAGUGCCUGAGGGCAGAGGAGCAGCGGGCUCGGCACCAGGCACUGCUCCUGCAGCUCCGGAGAAAGGCUCUGAGGGAGAGGGCCAGCGCCGAGCUGGCCUGGCUGGGCCACCGGAGACGGUGAGGGGCAAGGGGGCACCACCACUGUCCCCAUGCUGGGCCAGGACAGCUUUUCUUCCUUUCAGGGGAGCACAAUAAAUGUAAAAUCUUCUUAGAAAGCA